Long non-coding RNA from Panonychus citri (citrus red mite), 3519 nucleotides. RefSeq lists it as uncharacterized. Lineage: Eukaryota; Metazoa; Arthropoda; Arachnida; Trombidiformes; Tetranychidae. The transcript is spliced from 3 exons. The record is from RefSeq and is a predicted model, not a curated record.
UCUUUUUAAUUGUUUACUUUAUUUUCUUUACCUGGUUAAUUGUUGUUCUUUUUCAUUUUUAUCACCAUUUUUUUAAUCAUCUUCAUGAUAGAUUUUAAUUGUUGGCAAGUAUUUACUCCUCAAUCUACUGAGGUUUUUACUGCUCUAAUUUGUGGUGUUUAUGGUGAUUCCAUUUUGUUUAUGUAACACUAAUCUUUUUUGUUUGUUAAAUGUGAUUUUUGAUUGUUAAACUGGUUCGUGUUAAUUUUUUCCCUUUUGGUUUUCUCUUGAUUGUUACAAUUUGUUAACAGUCAAUUUAUUGUGUUGUUAAAGAUUGAUCAUCAGUGGGGUUACAGUUAUAAAUUCACACUUCCAUAUCAAAACCUAUUAACAUAGUCUUGAUUUCUGGUCACCAUUUUGUUUUGUUUUUUACAAUUUUGUUUUCUCCUCUCAAAGUUAAUCAUCAUCAUCUUCAUCAUCAUCGUCAUCCUAAUUGGUAAUGAUUAUUUGUACCUGGUUAAUGUCAUUCAAAUUUAUACGUUUCCACCAUCUACCUGUUAAUCCAAUUUCCAUCAAUGCGGGUUUAUCUCUGAAUGAUGAAGCUGAUUAAUGUUCCCUGUUGACUAUGAUAAUGAUGGACACUUGAUGAUUACGUGAUUAACAGAUUCUACUCAUUUGUAACCGACUCUCUCGAUCUCUCUGUCAAUGUCUAUUGUGUUGAUCAUCUUUUUGUUGUCACCAAUCCACCAGUUGCCUAAAUUGUUACGACAAUUAGUUGAUUUUUUUGCUUCUUCUCCUUCUCUCCAACGCCAACAACAGAUCAAGACAAUUAGAAGCAAAUUGUAAUUGUGGUCUCAUGAAGCAUUUCGACAAUUUAAUAGACUAAUAACAUAAUUUGUCCGUAAACGAUUGGUUACAAAAAAGCAACAAUCAAAUGGUUGAUUAGGCGUUAAGGUUUUCAUUUGGGAUUUUGGUUGAUAACAUUUAUCAUAAUCCAAUGUUACACAGCAAUUGGUUACAAUGAGAAUAAUCAUCAUAAUUAAUUGUAGAUUAAAAUCUAAACCAUAACAAUUAACCUGUAAGAGUCUUUUGUGACAAUUUAAAUUGUCUAAUAUAUGGAAUACAUGGAAAAUGGUUGAAGAGAAAAAUACUUGAAACUCUCUUGAACAAUUAACCAAAUCAACGAAAAUGAAGGAAAAACAAUCAAAUCAAUAAAUUGAUUAAAUCAAAAAUCUUGUUAAUUGUUACACAUACACACAAGGAGGAAAAGAAAAGGUUAAUCAAAUAAUCAAUAAAUCAACGUAAGUAAUUAAAAAAAAAGGUAAUGAUUACAGAUUUUGAUUAACUGAUCAAUAGAUUUUUGUAAAAUAUUUAAGUGUAAAUGAUUUAAAUUUAAUGUGAUAAAAAUCACAAUCAAUUAAUCAAUGAUGAUGGUGAGUCUUUACAUUCAAUAUGUUGAAAAAGUGAAAGUUAACAACAAUCAACUAAUUGUUGCCAAAAAUGAAACGUAAUUUAAUUAUCACUUCUGGAAUUGUGGUUAAUCAAUUUUGUUAAUUAUUUGAAGAAAAAAAAUCUCUUCCUGAUUCUUAUUGAAUUAAAACACCUUGAACUUGAUUAACAAUCUCUUAAUUAUCCCAAAUUAAUCAUUGAUUUCCUUGAUUAUAUUAGCUAAUCAAAGUGAUCAAAUUUAAUUAUUGCCUUAAGGGUAAUUACAAUUGACGUUUUUGUUUUCCCAAUCAAUACCAUGUUGAUGAUCAUUGGCUCACAAUCAAAAAGUUUUAAUUUCCUUUAUUCAAAAAGUUAAUCAUGUAAAUGAUAAUUGGGUUGAUUAAAUGCUGAUAUUGAUUGUUGAUCAAUGACAAUUUAGUUAGACUUAAAUUGCAGCGAAAAAAAAAGAUUAGUAAUAAAAGUUGAUUAACUAAUCAACCUUAUUUGAAGUUUAAUUGGGGAUACAAUGAAAAAAAAAGGUUCAUAAUAAUUAACGAUUUUGUUUGAUAAUACAAUUAAUUGUUAAUCUGAUAAUAAAAAUGGACCAAAUAUAAGACAAACUGAAUUAAGGAAUUGAUUGUUGGGAUAAUUUGACUUGUCUAUUAGUAUGUUAACCUCUUGAAAUGAUUAAUCUAAUUGCAAAUAGAAAACUUGAUCAUGGUUAUCGUAAUAUUAUCAUGAAAAAAUAUCACAAUUUCUCAUCAACUGAAGACACAGACUGGAUAAGGGCCUCAUGGAGAUGAUGAUGAUAAGGAUGAUAAAGAUGAUCUCUUUCUCUAUGUAAUAUCAAUACGAUUUUUAGGUCAAACUGAAUGUUCAUUUUCAGCUUCCCGGUUCAAUCAUUUUCUUGUUUCAAUUUCCCUUUUAUCCUCGUUCUUUAUCAUCUUUAUCAUCUCUCUCUCUCUCUCUCUCUCUCUCUCUCUCUCUCUCUCUCUCUCUCUCAAGGUUCCUCUCAAUUAAGGUUAUCAUCAUUUUCUGGUUAUUAGUAUUUUUUGUGUCUCCUAAUCCACUUUUUAUUUUCACUCGACAAUCAUCAUGAUGGAAAACCUGAAAAUCUCUGUCUUUUUCUCUGUCGACAAGAUGAUAAUUAUCAUUAUUUUAGUUCCCCUUUCAAAUAUUACUCAAUUACUGAUUGGCAAAAAUUAACUACUUAACUUAAUUGCUUGACAAUUAAUUCGUUUCUUGUUGAGAUUUUUGAUUAACUUUAUGGAUCUAAAAUCUAAUUAACUUUAAAUAUUAUUAAUACAUUGAACAUCAACUCUUUUUCAUUAAAUCAUAUUGGUAACAAUUAAGUUUCCUUUGUCAUUCUAUCAAAAUUUGCAAAUCAUUUAAUUGAUUAACUGUUUAAUUUUUAAUUGUUCCAAUCAAAUUUGUCAUGUUAUUUGUUUGUUCAUCAUUAAUCAUUAUCAUUUCCUCCCUUAAUUGUUUAUAUAUUUAUUAGUUAGGAAAAAUUAAAGUACGAAAAUUGUUACAUUUAAUUGUUGUUGUUGAUCAAAUUGUUGAUUACAAUCAACUCGAUACCAUCAUUACCUUAUAAUGAAUCUCAAUCAAGCAUUUAUAAUUUAUUAUUUUCUGAUUAAUUGUUAAUUUUAAUCAACCAAAGUUCCUGAUGAACAAAAAUUAAAUCCAAACAAUCAACCAAAUAUUGAGUCAAGAAAAAAAUUAACAACAAUUAAACUCGGUGUGAUUUAAAAGUUAUCAUUGAACUAACUGUUAAUUUUUUGAUUGUUGAUUAAACUUAAUUGUUAUGAAUUUCUUAAUAAUUGAUAUGCAUGAUAAUAAUGAAACAAUGAUUAAAAUGAACAAUUUAACCUUGAUGAACAAUUUUGAUUAACCACAAUGAAAAGAUUGAAAAUUCAACAAUUUAGUUCAACUAAAAGACCCAGAAAAAAAAUAGUUAACUAUUACAAUUAACAAUCAAUUGAUUGUCUCAUAACCAUCAGUUUGAAAACCUUCAAAUUAAUUAUCACCAGUUAAAUGUAUUAUUAUUUAUAUUGUUGUAAUUAAAAUUGAUUUGGUAAUAAAUUUUGAUUGUUUUAGUUAAUUGUGAAC